CAAAAAUAAUUGGUAGCUCUGUAAGGCCCCCGCUUUGUAUUCGUAUGGAGAUCACAUGGUCAUAACAUGAAAAAAGCUUCACUUUAUGGACGGCACAACUUCCGACCAUGCUUUCGACAGAGGAAUCCUUGCGCACAUGCACUACGCUCUAUGCAAUCACUAGUUCGAGGCACUGGAAACUUUCAAGACACGGAGGAAAAAGUUUUGAAGAAGUAAAUUUGACCUCAUUCCGCGGUUAAGAGACCAAGAGCAACCCAACUCUCCAGAUUUGUUUGAACAACCGGAAACAUCAGUAGAUCUUUCAAAAACAUGGCAACCUUCACCCGGCAGUUCAUUGACUCAGAUAUCCUGCGAUUCACCAUCCAGUCCAAAAACAAUUUUGACCCCCUCUGCAUUCCUCUACACCCGCUGUGCAAGGUCAGACAUCAUCUGCAGUCCCUGACAGGGGCCGUUAUGGAAAAAAAAGUCAGAAGUCAAGCAGAGCUCCUAACACCCCAGUAGUAUCCUGGAGGGCCUGUGAUAGACGGCGCAGUCCUGUGAUGACCCGUGCCCGGACCCCACAGGAGACUCCUAGACCUCAGACUGGAUCCCCUGCCCGUGCUUCCCAAGCUCAUUCCUCUGUAGGUCAGCGGCCCAAAACUCCAAGGAUUAAAGAGAGUGUUUCCAGUCGGUUUCCAAAUACCACAGAAGAACAAGUCGGAGUAGCUCUCGGUGAUCACCUAAAACAGACGCCAGCUCGAUGUGGUUGGGGGGCUACAGGAAAGACAGAACUUCCCCCUUCUGAUUUUUUUUCUAAAAGCCCCACAAAGUUCUUUAAAAACAAGUGUUUUUUUAAAACAAACGUUUUAAAUCUAUUUUUUUUUAUUUUCCUUUUCGCAUUGCGAGGCAAAUUUCAUAAAACCAGUUAAAAGGUUGUUAAAAGUAUUUAUAUUUGUAGUUUUUUAAACAUUUUUUCCACUGUUAUAAUGUGUAAUAUUUUGUUCAGUUUAUUUUGAAUUGUUUUAAUUUUUCCAAGUUCAAGGUUUAAAUUUAUGUUCUAUUUGUGUAACAUUAAAGAAAAAUUAUGCCAAGUCCAUGAUUGUAAUGGUUGUAUUCUGAAUGAAUGUACUGUAAUUGCAAUUCCAGUCUACUGAUGACAAAUGCCGAUUCGUGUUAAAUUAUGAAAAAGCAUGACAUUAGAUUAAAAAUGUAUUGUGAAAGGUCCAGAAAGAGACACACUGGCGAAAUAGUCGGGACAUCCUGAGAGUACAUCAAGGUAAGAAUUGCAGGUAAUUUCUCAUUUAGGCUUUUUUUGUGAGAGAGAUUUUUGUCUACAUU
This is a long non-coding RNA of Acanthochromis polyacanthus (spiny chromis), 1317 nucleotides long. RefSeq lists it as uncharacterized. The transcript has 9 exons. Lineage: Eukaryota; Metazoa; Chordata; Actinopteri; Pomacentridae. The record is from RefSeq and is a predicted model, not a curated record.